Molecule: ribosomal RNA, 667 nt
Filed under: Culicoides gulbenkiani
Lineage: Eukaryota; Metazoa; Arthropoda; Insecta; Diptera; Ceratopogonidae
Description: eukaryotic LSU rRNA
Rfam family: Eukaryotic large subunit ribosomal RNA
Source: RNAcentral
CGGGCUGGCUACUUCAAGUAGCUGGUUCCUUCCGACUCCUUGUUCUGGGGUCGAGUAUGUCCUGGGGAGUGCUCUUUUCUUCUAACAACACGUUGAAAUCGAUUCGAAAAAUGAAAAUCUCCAUAUAGGCCCAGAUAGAAGUUUAUACAUUACGCGGAUAACAUGGGUUUGUUGUUAUGUGAACGCUCGUAGUUUAUUUGGUGUUCUUACAUAUGUCUGAUGGUAUUUUUACUGUAUGGCCCUUACAAUCUCCGGAUUGAUAUCCCUUGCGGAUAUACUGCGUACAUUAUCAGUGUUGUUUUAAAUUUAGGAUACCAUCAGGACCCGUCUUGAAUCGAGAACCCUGAAGUCUAACUUGUCUGCGCCUCAAUGGGAUUAUUAAAACCUAUUCGGCAAAUGAGAUUGACUGGUGAAUGCCAUUACAAGUGGAAUUAUUUAUGAUAUUUUUCCAUCCCCGGGAAUCUUAGGGGAAGUAUUUGAACUAUUCAGAUAUACCGAGCGCUCACCAACUGUGACCCUAAGGACGGAAAACUAUGCCUGAUCUCGUUGAACUCGGGCCAAACCAAGAUGGAAGACCGUAGCAAUUCUGACGUGCAAAUCGAUUGUCAGAUUUGGGUAUAGGGGCGAAAGACCAAUCGAACCAUCUAGUACCUGGUUUCCUUCCAAA